AUUAGCUUGUUGGUGGGGUAACGGCUCACCAAGGCCACGAUGUCUAGGGGUUCUGAGAGGAAGGUCCCCCACACUGGAACUGAGACACGGUCCAGACUCCUACGGGAGGCAGCAGUGAGGAAUAUUGGACAAUGGUCGGAAGACUGAUCCAGCCAUGCCGCGUGAAGGUUACGGUCCUAUGGAUUUUAAACUUCUUUUGUAUGGAAGCAAUAAGGUGCACGUGUGCAUCGAUGAGAGUACCAUACGAAUAAGCAUCGGCUAACUCCGUGCCAGCAGCCGCGGUAAUACGGAGGAUGCAAGCGUUAUCCGGAUUUAUUGGGUUUAAAGGGUGCGUAGGCGGAUUAAUAAGUCAGCGGUGAAACUCACAGGCUCAACCUGUGCCGUGCCGUUGAAACUGUUUAUCUUGAAUGCGGAUGCUGUGGGAGGAAUGUGUAGUGUAGCGGUGAAAUGCAUAGAUAUUACACAGAACACCGAUUGCGAAGGCAUCUCACAAAGCCGUGAUUGACGCUGAGGCACGAAAGUGUGGGGAUCAAACAGGAUUAGAUACCCUGGUAGUCCACUACUGUAAACGAUGAUAACUCGCUGCCGGCGAUAUAUAGUCGGUGGCCCAGCGAAAGCGAUAA
RNAcentral lists this ribosomal RNA (623 nucleotides) under uncultured bacterium. RNAcentral describes it as "bacterial SSU rRNA". It matches the Rfam family "Bacterial small subunit ribosomal RNA", at positions 240 to 863 of the family's 1533-position model. The record is from RNAcentral.